Acipenser ruthenus (sterlet) is the source of this 847-nucleotide long non-coding RNA. RefSeq lists it as uncharacterized. The transcript is spliced from 2 exons. NCBI's taxonomy places the organism in Eukaryota, Metazoa, Chordata, Actinopteri, Acipenseriformes, Acipenseridae. The record is from RefSeq and is a predicted model, not a curated record.
AGAAUAGAGGAAAAUACAGAAAGAGAGAAACAAAUAUCGUGCAGACUGAAAAAAGAACAAGAAAAACAUAAAGAGAAUUGACAGUGAGGUGCUCAGUGUUGGUUCAUUUUCAACAAAUGACGGGACUGAAAGCCAAAAGCAAAGCGGGGAAGUGAGAGAAACGUUGGGUGCCUGUCUAGGGCAAGGGAAACACAAACGCGCUUCACCCAAAACUGCCAUGAGCAUAUAUAAUUGAGACAAUCGAACUGGGAGCAUCGGAGCACAUCCAGGAGCUGUGGUGUACUAGCAUACAGGCGCUGGUUCAACACAAGAAGUCUUGUGACAGGAUAAUAACAUGCAAGGGCAAUCAACGAAAAACAUUUUGUGCUGCUCAAAAAUAUUCGCUCUCUCGUUGAAAUAUUUACUGCUUUAAACCAAUAACGAGUCGUGCACGGAUUGGUCGGGGCGAGGUCUGAUGCUUGGAUUUGUUUAUUUUUUAACAGAACGUCGCAAAUUGGAUUUGCGCGAGCCAGCUUAGAAGAACGUCUUGCUAUCUCUGUCAGGUUUCUGCAAAGGAGAGAACGAGGUGAUUAGUUUGAACAGACUGGGUGUCUGAGGAGAAGAGGGGCAGAGAUGACUUGGAGGUGGAGAAACUGACACAGCCUCACAAUCUGGGGGAGGAGACAGGUCUUCAUGUUGUUUAAAGAUUUGGAGCAGUCUGUAUGCAAGAGGUUUGAUCUGUAAAAGGGAGACUAUAAGCUUUCAUGUCCAAUUGGAGCAUGGAAAAGUUUAAAUAUUUUCACAGUGUUCAAAAGUUUAUCAUUCUUCCAAGUACACAUCAGUGUUGUACACAUGUCGUCCACAAUAA